GCAUUUCCUCCCCACUCCCUGCCGCCCCAGACUGCUGCCAAGUCCUCAUGUGACACAUAUAGAGACGUCAGUUGCUCACUCAGUUAAGCUGAGCUCCACAUGUUGGCUUGAUGGGAGGAGCUGCUGACCCCCUUGGUAAUUACUCAGUCUAACAGCUUAACCAACAUGCAAAUUCCUCUGUUGAAUGACAGAAUAGUAGUAAGUAGUGGUUCAUCCUGAGAGUGCCUUGGACCACAAGAAGAUCCAACCAGUCCAUCCUCCAGGAAAUAAUGCCUGGCUGCUCACUAGAGGGAAGUAUAUUAGAGGCAAAGUUGAAGUAUUUUGGCCACAUCAUGAGAAGACAGGAAAGCUUGGAGAAGAUCAUGAUGCUGGAGAAAAUGGAAAGAAAAAGGAAGAGAGGCCGACCAAGGGCAAGAUGGAUGGACGGUAUCCUUCAAGUGACUGGCUCGACUUUGAAGGAAUUGGGGGCGACAACAGCCAACAGGGAGCUCUGGCGUGGACUGGUCCAUGAGGUCACGAAGAGUCAAAAACGACUGAAUGAGUGAGGCGAUGAGUGGUUCAUUCAGAUCUGUGGCAUGAAAACUUGAAAUCAUCAGAAUAUUUGUCAACAUCCAAAGCCUGCUUUUUGCUAGUUUUUGAACAUAGACUCAAAGUAAUCAACUGCGACAAGUAAUUUUGAAUCAGUUAUAAAGAGUUUGUCUGAAGGCCAAUUUAUAUAAUCCUAGAAUAAAGAGAUAGUGCGAGUUAAGAGUUUAAUUUGUUCUACGACCAAGUUCUUAACUCAGAUUGCUCUUAUCUCAAGGCAAAUUUUGGCAUGGAAAUUCACUGAAAUGCCAUUAAUCCAUUUCGGCUCCCUAAACUCCCCCUCCUCAUUUUUUGUUCAAAUAAGAAAAUGUACUUUAUAAAUAACAAAUAAUGUAUAAAUGUGUAUUAACAUGGAACAACAACAAAAAAUCAACAUUAAAAUGGUCGAAGCACAACGUUGUGGCAAGGAAGCACAUUUGAGGCAACAAAAUAUGUGUUGGCCAAACCUGCAAAUUCACAUGGAACAAUAAAGAAAGAUCAACUUUAAAAUGGUAGAAGCAUCAAGUUGUGGCAAGGAAGUACAAACUGAAGAGGCAGAAGUAUUAUUUUCUUCAUACUGGACUCAUUCCAGUCUCCCUCCCUCCCUCUCUUGCUCUCCCUCCCUCUCUCUCUUCAUGAAGCCAAACAUACCGGGAAUAAAAACCACACAAACUCAAUUAACCCAAAGUUCCUCGAAGUGGACAAGAGCAAAGUGGACAGCAAUCUCCCAAAGUGGACAAGAGCACAAGGAAGAGAGGUUGCUUCCUUGAAGUCCUAAAGCCCUGUACUCUCGGGCUGGUGCUCCCUCCGGCAUUAAUAAUAAUAAUCUUUAUUUGUAUACCACUCUCCCUAAAGAGACUCAGGGCAGUUUCCAAUAUAAGUAAAUCACUCAACAUCAAUAUAAAAAACAUACAUCACAACAUAGUAAAACAUAAACAGAAUUACUAUUAAUACAAUGUACUCAUUUAAAAUUAAAGAUUAAAAACCCGAUUCAAAAUUAUUCCAUUGGGUGGAUUCAGCUACCAAUGGCCAGCAUUCCAGAGUGGGCCUAGACACUGAAAAAGGCUGGGCCAGGGCUAAUGCAGCAAAGUGAACAUAAAGCUGGGGGUAAAUAAAGUGUAACCGAUAGGGCCUGGAUUACUCGGUCUCCAGGCCUGGUGAGCAGCUAUACUAGUGUAACAAGAUAUUGUAGGGCUGGGAUGUGGGUAAAGUGCAAAGUGGGGCCCUGUCUGGAGGCAUGGGUAGGAUCUCGAAUUAAUCAUUUUCAACGGUCUGCUGGAACCACCAGGCUUUCAGGUCCCUACAGAAGGAGGCUAGUGUCAGGGCUUGUCUUAUCUUCUUGGGAAGGAUGUUCCAAAGGCGGGGGGGGGGGGGGCACCAUCGAGAAGGCCCUCUCCCUUGUCCCCACCAACCGCAUUUGAGACGGUGGUGCGAGUGAGAGGAGGGCCUUGCCGGAAGAUCUAAGAGUCUGCGCUGGUACAUAGGGGGAGAUGUGAUUGUGGAGAUAGGCAGGGACUGGGCCAUUUAGGGCUUUAUAUGUCAUACCCUGCACCUUGAAUUGGGCCUGGCAACUUAUCGGCAACCAGUGAAGCUGCUUUAAUAUGGGCAUUUACGUACCCUACAAUCAGCUUUAGUUAAGAAUCUGGCUGCAGAUCUUUGUACCAGUUGGAAUUUCCAGACCAUCUUCAAAGACAGCCCCAUAUAGAGCAUGUUGCAGUAAUCCAAUCUAGAUGUAACCGAGGUGUGGAUCACCGUUGCCAAAUCAGACUUCAUGAGGUAUGGUUGCAGCUUGCACACAAGCUUUAACUGUACAAAGGCCCUCCCGGCCACCACCGACAACUGAGCAUCAAGUGUCAGCACCGAGUCCAGGAGGACCCCCAAGCUGCGGACCUGUGUCCUUAGGGGGAGUGUAACCCCGUUGAGCACAGGUUGCCACCCAAUACCCCGAUCAGCCCCACGACUGACCAAGAAGACCUCUGUCUUGUCUGAAUUAAGUUUCAAGUUAUUAGCCCUCAUCCGUCAUAGCUGUCAGACACUGGUUUAAGAUCCGGGAGACUUCCUUGGAGUUCAGUGGAAAGGAGUAGUAGAGUUGGGUGUCAUCUGCGCAUUAGCUCUUAGCUCAAAAUGUUGUUCAUAUGUCAAAGCAAAACCCAAGCAGAGCAAUGGCUCUUAACACAAAAUGCUCUUAAGUUGGAUGCUGUUAAGUUGAAGUUCCACUAUAACAUCCUUGACCUUAUGUCUGUAUUGGAUUAGGAGUCAGAAAAGUCAAUGCCCUCCAAAAAGAUGUUGUCUUUCAUGCUUCAUACUUGUGCAAUCACAGAGACGGACUCAUAUAAAUGAAUGACAUUCUAGAAUAAUAAUUUUGUGCGUUGCUAAGGCAAGAAAUCUCUAUUUCACAUCAGUUUGGUCACAUAGCAAAGGCUAUUGGCGUCCUUUUCUAGGACUUGGGAAAAGUUAUUUUUUGGAACUGAAAUUGGAAAUUAAGGUAAUGUUGUAAUGCUCUGUAUCUGUUAAUGGUAACUGUACAUGUUGAAAUGGUAAUUUUUUCCUGGACUUUUUGCUUUUUCACCAUAUCACCUGAUUGCUAAACUCUUUUCCUUUGUGUAAAUUAUUUCUUUAUCAGUUCAGACUGAUAUCUCCUAUACCCACAGCUAUUCUUGUUCACCUAUACUCUCUUGAUUAAUUUUAAAUUCAGCCGUUUGUUUUUAAAAAUCUAUAUUUUAUAUACUCACAGUUUUCUUCGUUAACUCUAAUUUGCAUCCAGUUUGUAUUUUAGCGUAUAUCUUUGUUGUCAUCUGAUACCACUGCUUUAGUGUUUCAUGGAGCUUUCUUUUGAUGCUGCUGAAAUGAUUCAUUAAUGAAUUUGAAUUUUACAUAUCCAGUCAACUGAAAUUUGCUAUCCCAUACAGAAUAUGAAUGGCUGUACUAGUUACCUGGCAUGCUUAAAAUACCACAGCAGUCUUCGCCGUAAUACUGCAUUUGGCUAGUGCAAACUCUAUGCAAUUCUCUAUGAUGCUGAGUUUGUGUGGAGCUAUAUAGCCUUCAUGUACAUGGACAUACUUGUUACCAUAUUUGAUUUGCCCUUCCAUAAUACAGUGCAUUUUGAAGUUGGUUUUUUCUGGAAAGUAAAAUGAAUGUACUCAAUGCUAUUAGAUGAUAUCAUUAUCAAUAUACCUUAUAUAAGUAUGUGUCUAUGUAUCUAUAUAUGCUUGUAUGUAUUUUCAAGUUUAUUCCCCCUUCCAGAGAGUUCUGUGAGUUCCACCAACAAUAGAUCUGGACCAAAAAUUGGAAUAUAGACACCUAAUGACCAACAGAAAAUACUGGAGAGCUUUAGGGGGAAUUGACCCACAACACUGGGAGUUGCAUCCAGAGAGCACUGUGACACCCACCAACAAUGAAUCUGGUUCAAACUUAGCAUACAUACUUAUCACGACCAGCUUUAAGUACUGGGGGGGGGGGGGGGGGUUGGGAGCAAUGGCAGAGGAUGAUGGGAGUUAUAGUUCACCAAUAUGCGAAGAACACUUUGACUCCCAAAGACGAUGGAUCUUGACCAAACGUGGCACACAUGUCUAUCACAACUGUCAUAAAAUACUGGGGUGGGGGGGGGGGGGGUUGGGGGAUUGUAGUUUACCCACAUCCUUAUUCAUUUUCUAAUGGAACCAUUCAUAAAAUCCAAAACCAAACAAUGGCUAUUUCUAAUGUUUAUCCUUACAAAAGACCUAACCCAGGCAUCACCAGGUACCUAAGCUGGUAUUAAUUAAAAAUAUAAAAUGGGAUUUUUGGUCUUUUACAACACUAACAGGACAAUAUGGGGUAGUUGUAGGAUGUCUGUUCAAAGCAUUUAAGUGUGGAGUUCCCUGGGUUGGCAACAGGUAGAGUAUUCAUUAGGAAACCAGUGAUUUUUUUUUAAACGUAAUGUAUGGGAAAAUUUUCUACUAUCCCCCUGCUAUUUGCUGAAGUUUGAUUUUAUGACACCCUCUGGAUACCAAACUAUUUGGAUGCUCAGGUCUCAUUAUAUACAAUGGCAUAAUAAAAUAGUGUACCUUAUAUAAAAAGGCAAAAUCAAAGUUUG
Long non-coding RNA from Anolis carolinensis (green anole), 4636 nucleotides. RefSeq lists it as uncharacterized. NCBI's taxonomy places the organism in Eukaryota, Metazoa, Chordata, Lepidosauria, Squamata, Anolidae. The transcript is spliced from 2 exons. The record is from RefSeq and is a predicted model, not a curated record.